Molecule: long non-coding RNA, 451 nt
Organism: Papaver somniferum (opium poppy)
Lineage: Eukaryota; Viridiplantae; Streptophyta; Magnoliopsida; Ranunculales; Papaveraceae
Exons: 2
Source: RefSeq, a predicted model, not a curated record
GAACAUUACUAAGACGAAGAAAACGAAGAAAAGAACCGACGGAGUUUUGAGUUCUUCGGCGGCUCUUUGUACAGCAGAAUAGGUGAACUGAUGACAAGGGUAUUGUUUACCCAAAAUUAAGAUAAUCAUGCAACCAGUGCAGCUGAAACUGACCAAGACUUCAUGAGCUGGACUCGGAAAGAAAUUGAAGGAGAACAGGUUAUUAGAAGUACAACUGACGCUGAUAAAGACGUUUGAGAUGAUGAUGACAGUGAUAGUGAUCACAGUGAUUGUGAACGCGAUGAUCUCGUCUAACAUGUAGUGAAAGUUAAUAUUGAACCCUAUUGUUUAUUUGAUGUUUUUCCUACUUUAUUUUAGGUUUGAUUGGAAGGAAUAUUAUUAGGCAAUUCAGACUUUGAAUGAACAUAUGCAGGUUAAUUUAAGUGAUGGGGAAUAAGAUACAGAACAUUCA